RNAcentral lists this ribosomal RNA (423 nucleotides) under Anomaloglossus cf. baeobatrachus ABGD cluster 4. Its description in RNAcentral is "partial large subunit ribosomal RNA". It matches the Rfam family "Bacterial large subunit ribosomal RNA", at positions 1816 to 2461 of the family's 2925-position model. Lineage: Eukaryota; Metazoa; Chordata; Amphibia; Anura; Aromobatidae. The record is from RNAcentral.
GCCUCUUGAUUAAACCAUAAGAGGUCCAGCCUGCCCAGUGACAUUGUUCAACGGCCGCGGUAUCCUAACCGUGCGAAGGUAGCGUAAUCACUUGUCCUUUAAAUGAAGACUAGUAUGAAUGGCCCCACGAAAGCUAUACUGUCUCCUUUUUCUAAUCAGUUAAACUAAUCUCCCCGUGAAGAAGCGGGGAUAAACAUAUAAGACGAGAAGACCCUAUGGAGCUUUAAACAACUGAAACACUUGUAUAUCUCCCUUCACCUACCCACAUUUAACUCCACAUCUUGUUUCUAGUUUUAGGUUGGGGUGACCACGGAGAAAAAACUAACCUCCACGAUGAAAGAGACAUCUCUAAACAAAAAGCUACAUCUUUAUGUAUUAAUACAUUAACCUUUAUUGACCCAAUAAAUUGAUCAACGAACCAAG